AGUGAACGCUGGCGGUAGGCCUAACACAUGCAAGUCGAACGGCAGCACAGUAAGAGCUUGCUCUUACGGGUGGCGAGUGGCGGACGGGUGAGGAAUACAUCGGAAUCUACUUUUUCGUGGGGGAUAACGUAGGGAAACUUACGCUAAUACCGCAUACGACCUACGGGUGAAAGCAGGGGAUCUUCGGACCUUGCGCGAUUGAAUGAGCCGAUGUCGGAUUAGCUAGUUGGCGGGGUAAAGGCCCACCAAGGCGACGAGCCGUAGCUGGUCUGAGAGGAUGAUCAGCCACACUGGAACUGAGACACGGUCCAGACUCCUACGGGAGGCAGCAGUGGGGAAUAUUGGACAAUGGGCGCAAGCCUGAUCCAGCCAUACCGCGUGAGUGAAGAAGGCCUUCGGGUUGUAAAGCCCUUUUGUUGGGAAAGAAAAGCAGCAGGUUAAUACCCCGCUGUUCUGACGGUACCCAAAGAAUAAGCACCGGCUAACUUCGUG
This 492-nucleotide ribosomal RNA is filed under the name uncultured bacterium. Its description in RNAcentral is "partial 16S ribosomal RNA". It matches the Rfam family "Bacterial small subunit ribosomal RNA", at positions 29 to 507 of the family's 1533-position model. The record is from RNAcentral.